GCCUGCUGGGACAACAGUUCAAGCAGGUGAACCUACACAGCAUGAAAGUAUCACACAUUUCCUUAGUGCAGCUAACCCUGUGUGACCAGGGCUUCAACACAUACCACUGUGACCACAACCUAGCCAUGAGCAUGAGCCUCACCAGCAUGUCCAAAAUGCUAAAAUACAACAAUGGCAGUGAAGACAUCACUACAUGGAGGGCUGAAGGUACUAUGGAUCUCUUGGUGCUAGAAUUUGAAGCACUAAAUCAAGAGAACUUUUAGACUGUGAAUUGAAGUUAAUGACUCUAGAUGUUGAGCAACUUGAAAUUCCAGAACAAGAGUACAGCUGUGUAAUAAAGAUGCAUUCUAGUGAAUUUGUUCAUAUAUGCCAAGAUCUCAGUCAUAUUGGAGAGUCUGCUAUAAUUUCUUGUGCAAAAGAUGGAGUGAAUUUUUCUGCAAAUGGAGAACUUGGACAUGGAAACAUUGCCACAAACAAGUAAUUACAAUAAAGAAGAGGAGGCUGUUGCCAUAAUGAUGAAUGGGCCAGUUCAGCUAACUUUUGCACUAAGUUACUUAAAUUUCUUUAUAACAGGCACUCCACUCUCUCUUCCCAGUAACACUCAGUAUGUCUGCAGAUGCACCCCUUGCUGUAGAGUAUAAGAUUGCCGGAUAUGGAACAUUUAAAGUAUUAUUUGGCUCCCAAAAUUGAGGAUGAAAAAGGAUUUUAG
Molecule: long non-coding RNA, 709 nt
Filed under: Homo sapiens (human)
Lineage: Eukaryota; Metazoa; Chordata; Mammalia; Primates; Hominidae
Description: non-protein coding lnc-ADH4-1:2
Source: RNAcentral